UACGUAGGUGGCGAGCGUUGUCCGGAAUUACUGGGUGUAAAGGGCGUGUAGGCGGGGCGUCAAGUCAGAUGUGAAAUACCGAAGCUUAACUUCGGGGCUGCAUUUGAAACUGGUUGUCUUGAGUGCAGGAGAGGAAAGCGGAAUUCCUAGUGUAGCGGUGAAAUGCGUAGAUAUUAGGAGGAACACCAGUGGCGAAGGCGGCUUUCUGGACUGUAACUGACGCUGAGGCGCGAAAGCGUGGGGAGCAAACAGG
This 253-nucleotide ribosomal RNA is filed under the name uncultured bacterium. Its description in RNAcentral is "partial 16S ribosomal RNA". It matches the Rfam family "Bacterial small subunit ribosomal RNA", at positions 524 to 776 of the family's 1533-position model. The record is from RNAcentral.